Molecule: ribosomal RNA, 695 nt
Filed under: uncultured Gammaproteobacteria bacterium
Lineage: Bacteria; Pseudomonadati; Pseudomonadota; Gammaproteobacteria
Description: bacterial SSU rRNA
Rfam family: Bacterial small subunit ribosomal RNA
Source: RNAcentral
AGAGUUUGAUCCUGGCUCAGAUUGAACGCUGGCGGCAGGCCUAACACAUGCAAGUCGAGCGCGAAAGCCUUCGGGUGAGUAGAGCGGCGGACGGGUGAGUAACGCGUGGGAAUCUACCUAGUAGUGGGGGACAACAACCGGAAACGGUUGCUAAUACCGCAUACGUCCUACGGGAGAAAGGGGGCUUCGGCUCUCGCUAUUAGAUGAGCCCGCGUUAGAUUAGCUUGUUGGUGGGGUAAUGGCCCACCAAGGCGACGAUCUAUAGCUGGUCUGAGAGGAUGAUCAGCCACAUCGGGACUGAGACACGGCCCGAACUCCUACGGGAGGCAGCAGUGGGGAAUAUUGGACAAUGGGCGAAAGCCUGAUCCAGCCAUGCCGCGUGUGUGAAGAAGGCUCUAGGGUUGUAAAGCACUUUCAGUAGGGAGGAAAAGUUAGUAGUUAAUACCUGCUAACCCUGACGUUACCUACAGAAGAAGCACCGGCAAACUCCGUGCCAGCAGCCGCGGUAAUACGGAGGGUGCGAGCGUUAAUCGGAAUUACUGGGCGUAAAGCGCGCGUAGUUGGCUUGUUAAGCAGAAUGCGAAAUCCCCGGGCUUAACCUGGGAACUGCAUCCUGAACUGGCAGGCUAGAGUAUAGUAGAGGACAGUGGAAUUUCUGGUGUAGCGGUGAAAUGCGUAGAUAUCAAAGGAACAUC